ACGCAUUGCGGGAGAACCUCCGAUUUCGGAGGCGCCGUAGGAGCAACUCCUCCCCGGGAAUCUCUCAGGCCCAAUACCGC
This 80-nucleotide non-coding RNA is filed under the name uncultured Mycobacterium sp. Its description in RNAcentral is "Glycine riboswitch". It matches the Rfam family "Glycine riboswitch aptamer", at positions 10 to 85 of the family's 94-position model. Rfam says of the family: This family represents the bacterial glycine riboswitch. Glycine riboswitches usually consist of two metabolite-binding aptamers domains with similar structures in tandem. Lineage: Bacteria; Bacillati; Actinomycetota; Actinomycetes; Mycobacteriales; Mycobacteriaceae. The record is from RNAcentral.